GCGGAUGUACCCAAGUGGAUCAAGGCAGU
Molecule: transfer RNA, 29 nt
Filed under: Rubus corchorifolius
Lineage: Eukaryota; Viridiplantae; Streptophyta; Magnoliopsida; Rosales; Rosaceae
Also listed under: 1 other name
Description: partial tRNA-His
Source: RNAcentral